RNAcentral lists this ribosomal RNA (332 nucleotides) under Microbacterium thalli. Its description in RNAcentral is "partial 23S ribosomal RNA". It matches the Rfam family "Bacterial large subunit ribosomal RNA", at positions 2586 to 2912 of the family's 2925-position model. Lineage: Bacteria; Bacillati; Actinomycetota; Actinomycetes; Micrococcales; Microbacteriaceae. The record is from RNAcentral.
AUUUAAAGUGGUACGCGAGCUGGGUUUAGAACGUCGUGAGACAGUUCGGUCCCUAUCUGCCGUGGGCGCUGGAGAACUGAGGGGGGCUGCUCCUAGUACGAGAGGACCGGAGUGGACGCAUCACUGGUGUUCGGGUUGUCAUGCCAAUGGCACUGCCCGGUAGCUAAAUGCGGAAGAGAUAAGUGCUGAAAGCAUCUAAGCACGAAACUUGCCCCGAGAUGAGUUCUCCCUGACUCCUUGAGAGUCCUGAAGGAACGUUGAAGACGACGACGUUGAUAGGCCGGGUGUGUAAGCGCAGCGAUGCGUUGAGCUAACCGGUACUAAUGAACCGU